This 2400-nucleotide long non-coding RNA is filed under the name Venturia canescens. RNAcentral's name for it is "uncharacterized LOC122418956, transcript variant X3". The record is from RNAcentral. Lineage: Eukaryota; Metazoa; Arthropoda; Insecta; Hymenoptera; Ichneumonidae.
GCCUCAGGCCAGCAGACGACAGGGCUGUCAAUGUAUUUGUCCCGAGACCCCGAGACUCUACCGAGUCUCUUGAUCAUAAUAAUUAACGCGAAAAUUGAAUCGAUGGUUUUUCGGGUAUACGUACGCUGACUGACGCCUGAUUAGACCUGAGCCAACCACAAAAAGAAGAAAAAGAAGAAGACUGACGACUGACCCAUCUGAUCACAUCUUCCAAAUUCGAUGUGAAUCAGUGAAGUGACUCUUAUAAACAUUCAGAAGGCUGGUGAUUUUUACGAUCUUUGUGGAGGUGAAAAAUUUGUCACUAAUGCCACUCUCUCGGAUCUCGGAGCUCGUCCAGCUUUACAUGGAGAAUGGGUGAACAGUUUUUUGAGAGAAAAAAACAGUGAACUUAUUGAACUCAAGUAUCCUCUAAAUCGUGCGGAUCCAACAACCUAAAGGUGGAAAGAUCAGUAGGUUUUCAAGAUCUGAAAUAUAACGUUGGUGGGAGCUUGAGAAAUUUGAUAGUUUGAGCAAUCUGAUGGAGCACGUACUACAAAAUAAAUCCCAUGGUUGAAAUAAGCACGAGUGUUGCACGAUUACACCUCAUAAUGGAGUCCUCAAAGUUAUUAACGGUUGUAACGAAAAAUCUGAUUAAUUAUUCUUAUUUUUCUAAUGUUUGCAACACAAUACUGACUGUUAACGUAAUCAGAACUAGAACAUAUAGUAAAUACUUUGGGAUGGGAAGAUGUUUAAUGUGGACCCUAGCGGAUUGUACGACCAGGCAUCGGUCAAAAAAAGUACAAAAACGACCGAAAUUGGUCGAAAACAACCGAAAAACGACCAAAUUCGGUCGUUUUUGUACUUUUUUUGACCGAUGCCUGGUCAUACAAUCCGCUAGGGGAGCAAUAUUCAGACAAUCGUUUUGUGCUACGCGAAUCAACGUUAGUAGCAUAGAGAUAAGUCUAGUGAAGCAAUUGCGCAAAGAAAAUGGUUGCUCGAACGGUUGACUCUGCUGGAACAUUGCAGCGACUGACAACGAGGCAACAGCUGCACAUGCGAAAGGAAAAGCUCGUAUUGGGAACAAAUUGAACUGUUUACAUAAAAUAGCAUUAACAGCAACCUAUUCAUAUGUUCUUAUCAAAACAUGGAGUCGAAAUGGAAUCUGUAGGAAGAUACGGAACGCUGGUUUCUUACGCUGUACGUUUUGCUCUUUCUUCAUCUGGACGUGACCGACCCUCAUGAUACAUCGCUCUAUUGACAACAACUCUAAAGAAGCAAUCCAAUUGUAUUUCAAACGAACAUAACUUCUGGUGGUUCCAAGCGCUUUUUUUCAUUGACCUCUUGCUCUCGUGAUUCAGUUCAUAUCUUUUUAUUCUUGCGAGAUAUUUUUUUACUUGUUUUAUUAUUUUUCUCGAGCACUUGUAUUGAUAUUUGUUAUCGACUAUAACGAACGCUGCCUCAUUUUUGAAAGAGCUUUUUUACGAUAUCUUUCUAGCUCGAAAGUAUUUUAUCAGAGGCAUGCUUUCGUAGAGUUUUUUUUUUAUAAUUACUCCAUCAGUUAGUUCUCUUAUUUCCGCGAUCACAUGAGUGCACAUAUUUUGUGCAUAUGUAGAAUUGUACCAUGGCCAAGCAUAUCUACUAAACUGGGGUGUAAUCUUUUCAAACGUGUGUGAAACUCUCUUAUACUACGUUAUCGUACUAUAAUUGUUUAUAUUAUGUAUGUUCGCAAAUUUUGUCAGAAUUUGAUUAAUGUCUAGUGCAGACGAACAGCACUACUUUAUUUGAUCUCGUGAAGUUUUUCUGUCACUAUUUCCACUUAUUUCGACGGUACAAGAACAGCGGUGUGCAAACAAUUAAUGAAAAAUAUAUGAUGCCUAUUUUAUAAGAAAAAUCGAGGUUUUGGUCUAAUUAUCAAAGCCAAAAGUGAAUACGUACUGAAUUAGAGAUAAGAUAAACGCGUCGAACCCAGAUAAAAAAUAUAUGAAAAAUUUGAAAUUCUUUCGAUAAAAAUAUGUUGAAUUAUUCAGAACUCGUUCAUUCACCAUUCCGUGUCGAUAUUUGGAAAGAUAAUAUGUAGCGGUGGGAUGAAUUUCGAUUAAAAGAUGUUUUUUAAGGCUGUUAUUAGUGUAUACGAGAACUUUUUCCGUUCACCGUGUUGUCAUUGUUCUGGUACUUAUCUUUAUAACGCAUCGCUAGAAAACUGCUUACAUAAUGAGCACAAUGAAAACGACAAUAGUAAAAUAAUUUCAACGAGGUCGCAAAAUAAUUAUCACGAUGUGGUAUACCGGAGUAAUAAUAUUCGCAAAAAUUACGUGAACGGAGCAAUGAAGAUCUUGAAAGAGACUCGGCACGCGAAAUGUUAUGUUCACGAUAGCAAUAAUAGUGAAUCAAGUUUUAAAAUAAAAAAUUUAAUAAAAAACA